This 467-nucleotide ribosomal RNA is filed under the name Tylodina perversa. RNAcentral's name for it is "partial large subunit ribosomal RNA". It matches the Rfam family "Bacterial large subunit ribosomal RNA", at positions 1796 to 2622 of the family's 2925-position model. The record is from RNAcentral. Lineage: Eukaryota; Metazoa; Mollusca; Gastropoda; Umbraculida; Tylodinidae.
UCGCCUGUUUAUCAAAAACAUAGCCCUAAGAAAGUGAUUUAGGGUAUAACCUGCCCAGUGAAAGAAUUUUAACGGCCGCGGUACCCUGACCGUGCUAAGGUAGCGUAAUCAGUUGACUUUUAAAUGAAGUCUAGUAUGAAUGGAUUUAUGGGGUUGAGCUGUCUCUUUUCUACUCUAUUUAAUUUACUAAUUAGGUGAAAAGGCCUAAAAUUGAUAAAAGACGAGAAGACCCUGGGAGUUUUUAUGAGAGUUUUUGUUGGGGCGACAAGAGAACAGGAAACUUCUUUAGAUUUCUUUUUACAAGCCGGUGUUUUCAAGGGUGAUUAAACUACCCCAGGGAUAACAGCAUAAUCUAAUUUGGGUUUGUGACCUCGAUGUUGGACUAGGAAAUUCCCGUGGCUAGCCGCCCGGGAAUAAAGUUCUGUUCGAACUAAGUUUUCCUACAUGAUCUGAGUUCAAACCGGAGA